UGACUGGUGGGGUGUGACCCCGGCCAGAUCUAAAGAGAUGCAUAUGCACUGUACUAUCCAGGACGAUAUACAGUAUGGAGAGACCAGAUCCCCUUUCAUCCGCUAUGGCCACAAACAGUUGAGUGGAUUUCCUGAAUGGUUUCAUAUGAUCGAUAUGGAGAGCUAUGGCCCUUUUCACGUCUAGCACGUGCAGCACCCUUUUUCCAGCACUAGAGUGCUGUUUCAGAUAAAAAACUGAGAGGAAGGUAUCUUGACCCAGGUGGAACUGGGAGACAACCUUUGGCAAAAAGGUCGGAUAUGGCUUGAGCUGUACCUUGUCCUUAUGGAAAACCAUAUAUGGGUGUUCUGAGGAAAAAGCUCUUAUUUCAGACACUCUCCUCGCCAAGGUGAUGGCCACCAGGAAGGCCACCUUAAUGGAAAGAUGGAGCAAUGAACACUCAGCCAUUGAUUCAAAGGAUGGUACCAUAAAUUUAUUGAGCACCAAGUUAACAUCCCAAGUGGUUACAGGUAAACAAGAAUAUGGCUACCACCUGUCUAACCCUUUCCUAAAGUGGGUUACCAUUGGAUAACUGAACAGGGAACAUUGUGAGCAUCCUUGGUUGAAAAGUGGACACAGUCGCUAAGUGAACCUCCUCCACUUGGCUAAGUAUACUGCCCUAGUGGAGAGCUUCCUGCUUCCCAACAGAACCUCCUGCACCUGGGCUGAGCACUGAAGCUCUCAUGGACUGAACCAUCUAGCUUCCAUACAAUGAGAUGGAGAAAGUGCAGGUCUGAGAUGCCCCGAUGUUGAAUUAGGAGGUCCAGGUACAGGGGAAGGGCUAUUGGUGCCUCCACUGACCGACUGAGUAGAGUGGAGAACCAAUGUUACUGUGACCAUGCUAGCGCCAACGAAUUAGAUGUGUGUUGGCCUUGCGUGCUUUUAUUAGGGCUCGAUGCCACAGCGGGACCAGAGGGAAUGCCAUGGAACCAUGACGAUGAUUCUGGAAGGAACAGAAGUCCCUUCACUCCAAGGCAAGACAACUAGAAGGUUCCAACACCAUCACAGAUGUAUCAUAAUCUGUUGCUACGGAAACAACUAUGAUGUCACAAAGAAAGGAUUAUGGAUGCCCUGAACAGGAAGAAAAGGUACACUAUGAUGAGAGAGAGAAAAGACACCUACAAACAGCUGCUGAAUAGGAGACAUUUCAGAAGCAACAAAAGUGAAAUGAGGCAGAUAUCAAUACAGACACUGGAAAACAACCAGAGAGGAGAAAGGGACGUCAUUAAAAGCAGUUCUCAAUCAAACGACCUGUUCUUUGCAACCCAACAGACACUCCUACAUUAUCAAACUGCUGGAGAGAUCUUAAAAAUAUAGGGCUAAAUGCUGUGAUUCACAACUCA
Molecule: long non-coding RNA, 1380 nt
Organism: Pelodiscus sinensis (Chinese soft-shelled turtle)
Lineage: Eukaryota; Metazoa; Chordata; Testudines; Trionychidae
Source: RefSeq, a predicted model, not a curated record